CAAUUUCCGUUUUCCUCAGUUCGCGCCGUUUUGUUUUUGUUUGGCUCACAGUCCGCACAUCAUGAGGAGAAGUACACGUUGGCCAACCCUUCAGGUCUGAUUCACUCACGCAUGACUAACUUACCUCCUUUCACUGCGACCUGAACAUUCACAUAUCUGCCAGCGAUGUUGCAGACUCAAACCUCAUUGUUGUGGUCAACUCUGCUCCGUGUCCCAAGUCUGCCACUGACAGCAAACUGGUAACACUGGAAAAGCCGUCUUUAGGAGGGUUUCCACUGUGAAGAGGCCUCUGGAGUAUCAAGCAAUCAAAUCCUUUCGAGGCUUCGUCUGUUGACAUUUGGGGAAACGGGCACUCACCGAGAAGGCCGGCUAACUCGUAGGCUUUCUUCUGCUCGAUGGUCUCGUAGUUCAGCGCCUCAAAGAAGAUGUCCAGCACCAUGAUGUUGUCUCUAAAGGGCAGAACGCAAGAGAGAGGUAUUUGGCGGAGGCUUUGCUGGGGAUCCUGACGAAGGACAACUCUUUGCCAUAUCGCGUCAUGUUGCAGGGUGUCUCGCAGACGCAGUAGUCAUUAUCUCUCUCCACCAGGAAAUCUAAAACCCCAGACAAAAAAAGACAAGAGCGUUUCUCUUAACCUCCGAAAUCCUGGUUAAAAAACACGGGGGACAGAUGAUGAGGUAUGAAAAGGCCCAGGGAAGUGGGUGGCGAGGUUAGCGGGGGUCAUAAAUCGAGCUGUCCGGUCAUGGCCUCGGGUUUAGACAUGGGUAAUGAGGAGCGGAUGAGUUCAGCGGGAAAGAAACGGCCUCUAGACUCAAAUGUUUCAGGGAGGAGAAGGCAGAUUUCUUACCUAGAGCUGGAUCCGCACAUUCCUUAUACUGCUCCGGAGUGCAAUAUGGAGCAUCUCCUAAAGACAAAAACAGAGCAGAUGAGCAAAGAAAAUGGCUGUGGUUUGAGUUAAGGCUGCACUAUAUAUCGUUUCAGCAUGGAUAUCACAAUUCACAAUAGUCCCAUCACACAAUACUG
Molecule: long non-coding RNA, 1020 nt
Filed under: Danio rerio (zebrafish)
Lineage: Eukaryota; Metazoa; Chordata; Actinopteri; Cypriniformes; Danionidae
Description: lncRNA si:ch211-157p5.4 (ENSDARG00000099158.2)
Source: RNAcentral